This 65-nucleotide transfer RNA is filed under the name Nesophrosyne ponapona. Its description in RNAcentral is "tRNA-Leu". The record is from RNAcentral. Lineage: Eukaryota; Metazoa; Arthropoda; Insecta; Hemiptera; Cicadellidae.
GAUAAAUUGGCAGAUUAGUGCAUUAAGUUUAGAACUUGAAUUAAGUAUAUAAAAUACAUUUAUUA